GGCCUGGGGGGUGCAGGGAGGGCCAUCAAUAGGGAGACAGGUCCCCCAGCAUCCCCCAGGGUCCCCCAGGGCCAUCCCUCAAAAGAAUGAAGAACGGGGAGGCUCCGUGCUGACACCAGCCGCACACAGCCCACUCCUGCUCCCCCAGGACGCCUCCAGGCUCCUCAGCCACCUGGUCACCCCGGGGCACCCUCACACUCCCUUGGAAGUCACUGUCACCUCAGUUAGGCUGAUGCUUGGGGCUCAGUUCUUGGGGCCGGGUGCUCAGAACUCAGUGCUCAGGGCUGGGCACGAUCCCCAGCACAGCUCCAUGGAGAGAGGAACCCACGUCACAGACGGGGAGGCCGAGGCUCGGAGCAGGCACUGGCCGCAGGCCGAGCUGGCUGACCAGGAGCCAGAGCAGGGCCCCUGCUGACCGCACCCCGGUGAGGGGGGGCAGAGCCACACAACAGGAGGUGCUCCCACGGAUGCACACACAGGGGCUUAGCACACGGGCUGGGACUGCGGUCCAGCGUCUCCCAACCCCGACAGCCCAGAAGGCACUUCUGUACCUUUCUUCCGAUCACACAGCGAGACAUCACUUCACGUCGCUGAGCGCGUGCACGGGGACCUCACACGACUUUAUAAAGAGGAGACAUUUGGGCGCUACUCUGCACCCUGCCCUUUGCACAUAACGAUGCCGUGGAAGUCCCUCCAGGCCAGCCGGUCCCUCCAACUCACUCUCACAGCUGCACGUCCAUCCUUGGUGGAGUCCUUGUCCUGCUGACAGAGGAGCGGAGGUGGGCCGUCCUCCUUGGCGUAGAGGUAUCGGGACCUGUGCGCUCCUUGGCAUUAGGUUAACACUUCUGUUAUUCUGUUCCCUCCACUACAGACGAGGCUGUGAAUGCUCUGACUUUACGUGUUAUCUUAUUUCCUCAUUCUUUGAAUUCUACGACAUAGAUUCUCACAGGUGUACUGAAAGUCUCGGUCUGUUCUGGGGUCUGUUCCGCGUAUCUGCUUUCCUGGGCUUAUGUCGACACCAAGUUAUUUUGGCCACUAGGCUUCACAGGGGUCCACUCUGCCGUGCAAAGUCUCUCCUGUUCUUCUCCUUAAUUUUCUUGGCUAUUCGCGGAAACUACCGUUCCAAAAUUAACCUGAAGAUAAUUUUAUCCAAUAGU
Molecule: long non-coding RNA, 1157 nt
Organism: Herpailurus yagouaroundi (jaguarundi)
Lineage: Eukaryota; Metazoa; Chordata; Mammalia; Carnivora; Felidae
Exons: 2
Source: RefSeq, a predicted model, not a curated record